RNAcentral lists this ribosomal RNA (1375 nucleotides) under uncultured bacterium. Its description in RNAcentral is "bacterial SSU rRNA". It matches the Rfam family "Bacterial small subunit ribosomal RNA". The record is from RNAcentral.
AUUCGCCCUUAGAGUUUGAUCCUGGCUCAGGACGAACGCUGGCGGCGUGCCUAACACAUGCAAGUCGAACGGAGUACAGAUUUUCGGAUUUGUACUGAGUGGCGAACGGGUGAGUAACGCGUGAGCAACCUGACCCUUUGAGGGGGAUAACACCUGGAAACAAGUGCUAAUACCGCAUAAGACCACGACCCGGCAUCGGGAUGAGGUCAAAGGAGCAAUCCGCAGAGGGAGGGGCUCGCGUCCCAUUAGAUAGUUGGCGGGGUAAUGGCCCACCAAGUCGACGAUGGGUAGCCGAGCUGAGAGGCUGAUCGGCCACACUGGAACUGAGACACGGUCCAGACUCCUACGGGAGGCAGCAGUGGGGAAUAUUGGGCAAUGGGCGCAAGCCUGACCCAGCAACGCCGCGUGAGGGAAGAAGGCUUUCGGGUUGUAAACCUCUGUCCUUGGUGAUGAAGGAAGUGACGGUAGCCAAGGAGGAAGCCCCGGCUAACUACGUGCCAGCAGCCGCGGUAAUACGUAGGGGGCGAGCGUUGUCCGGAAUUACUGGGCGUAAAGGGUGCGUAGGCUGUUCUGCAAGUCAGCGGUGAAAGCCCGGGGCUCAACCCCGGAAAUGCCGUUGAUACUGCGGGGCUGGAAUACGGAUGCCGUGGGAGGAAUGAGUAGUGUAGCGGUGAAAUGCAUAGAUAUUACUCAGAACACCGAUUGCGAAGGCAUCUCACGAAUCCGUUAUUGACGCUGAGGCACGAAAGCGUGGGGAUCAAACAGGAUUAGAUACCCUGGUAGUCCACGCAGUAAACGAUGAUAACUAACCGUCGGCGAUACACAGUCGGUGGCCAAGCGAAAGCGAUAAGUUAUCCACCUGGGGAGUACGUUCGCAAGAAUGAAACUCAAAGGAAUUGACGGGGGCCCGCACAAGCGGAGGAACAUGUGGUUUAAUUCGAUGAUACGCGAGGAACCUUACCCGGGCUCGAACGGCAUAUGAACGAGACAGAGAUGUUUCGGUCCUUCGGGACAUAUGUCGAGGUGCUGCAUGGUUGUCGUCAGCUCGUGUCGUGAGAUGUUGGCUUAAGUGCCAUAACGAGCGCAACCCUUGCCGAUAGUUACCAUCAAGUAAAGUUGGGGACUCUAUCGGGACUGCCACCGCAAGGUGAGAGGAAGGCGGGGAUGACGUCAAAUCAGCACGGCCCUUACGUCCGGGGCGACACACGUGUUACAAUGGUAGCUACAGAGGGAAGCCAGCUGGUGACAGUGAGCGGAUCUCGAAAAGCUAUCUCAGUUCGGAUUGGAGUCUGCAACUCGACUCCAUGAAGCUGGAUUCGCUAGUAAUCGCGCAUCAGCCAUGGCGCGGUGAAUACGUUCCCGGGCCUUGCACUCA